RNAcentral lists this long non-coding RNA (917 nucleotides) under Brassica napus (rape). RNAcentral describes it as "long non-coding RNA (BNAP_LNC017737)". Lineage: Eukaryota; Viridiplantae; Streptophyta; Magnoliopsida; Brassicales; Brassicaceae. The record is from RNAcentral.
UGUUUUUAAAGAAGGGACUCUUGAUCUGAUUUGGCAAAUUAAAAAACAACAACUCAUUUUCACAUCUAUCCACUUAUUAUUAAACAGAAAUAUUUUUAAAAAACAACCUUAAUUUUAUGUAUUAUUAACAAGUUUGUCAUUAUGUUUAUGUGUCAACACUUCGAGCUUUCUUAUACCACAUUCUAAACAAUUAUUUAUUUAAUAGAAAAAUUACGACAUAUGUCAUUAACCCCUAUUCAUUAUAUCAUUAUCAUUUAUUAUAUCAUUUAAAAAAAUAUAUUAGUUUAAAUGUAUUCCCAUAUCAGAUUCCUAACUAUACAUAUAGAAACCAACUAAUUAAUAUACCGUGUAUGAAAUUUCUGAUUCCUUAAAUGACAAGUACAUAUAUUGUCAUGUGUAUAAGCUUCGUUUGCAAAAUACAAUAAAUUUUUUUUUUUGGUAAUCAAAAUAUACAAUAACCGACUGAUAUAUCGUGUAUGAAAUUUCUGAUUCCUUAGAUGUUAAUUACAUACAUUGUCAUGUGUGUAAGCUUCGUUUGCAAAAUACAAUAUAUAUUUUUUGGUAAUAAAAAUAUACAAUAAUUAAAAUACAAUAAUUUUGUAUGUACGAAGUUACACAAAUUAUAUAAGUUUAAUUUUUUUGCAUUUUACUCACUAUUUUCUGUAAAACAAAAUUGUAUAUAUAUCACCCCGAGUAUGACAAGCUUAUCCCAUACCUUCCCAUUCAUUUUUCAAAGGCUGCAUUAAAUUCUCCAUUUAAUUCUCUUAUUUAAACUUUAAGACUCUGUGGGCGAAUUCAUGCAUGCACCAAUAGAUACGCUCUAUGCAAUGUAUGAUUAUGAGUAUGGGUAGGUUAGCUUCUUAAAUGCAAAUCCUUGUCCUUCCUCCUUUUUUAAUCUCUAUAAAUUGCUCUUCUUC